Molecule: long non-coding RNA, 1362 nt
Organism: Anguilla rostrata (American eel)
Lineage: Eukaryota; Metazoa; Chordata; Actinopteri; Anguilliformes; Anguillidae
Exons: 3
Source: RefSeq, a predicted model, not a curated record
AAGUGAAAUAAAUUAGUCCCUAAGUGAGAUGGUAACAGGGCAGGGUGAAACGAUAAAGACGAACGUUGUGAAGUUGGACGAGGAUGUGUACAAUGAUGGACGAGUAGGACCGCAGCCUACAUGUUUUCGUCUGCUCGGCGUCCAAACAGGCGAGGAGGAGCACGAAAUUGAGUCUGACCAGAACUUGUGGAAGUUGGGCAUGUCUGGUAUCCAACAACGCCGGCUUGUUUCCUCUGAUUCGACGAGUGCGAUUAUCUCUCCGUGUCACAGUGCAAGUGAUCAAUCCGCGGGGCUGUCGACUGGUCUUAACUACAGAGCGUCUCUCCACCCCCCUGCUGCGUGCCUCCCGUGCCCCCCAACCUGCCCCACCCCCCACCCCCCCCUUCGGCAUCACCUCCAGGGCUCACCUGAGCCUGUCGCUAACGCUACUCUGCUGCAGCCGCCAUCGCUGGGGGGGCCAUCCCGUUCUCCCGCCAUUGAACUGGCCUCUGAUCCCUGCAGCUCUCUGCCUUGGGGUGCUCAGGCUCCUCCGGGGGGGGGGGGGAGGGGGGAGAGACGGACGUCAUCCACCUGCUCUGGGCUGCCGCGGUGCGUUCUGUUCAGCCUAUUCAGCGCACUGCGGCGAUGACGUACGUCUGUUUUUAGUCAGAAAAAUCAGGACCGGCCGCAUAAACUCAUUCUGAGAAGUCUGAGAAUUGGGUACUAGACCAGUGCACUGGCAAAAACACUCAAGGGUCACUAUUGUGGGGUGGAGAUGAGGAGGGGGAGGGGGGUGCUUGAGUUCCACUGUUCACUGGCCCUGCCCUUUUACCAGAAAUGUUCCGCAGUACCGCAGCAUUCGCCACACUUCAAAGAGCUGUGGGAAGACAGAACAUUCUGUACGUAGUCAGCGUGUCACCCACACGCAACCAGGAAACCACAGCCGAGGACAGACGCAGACGCUCGACGGAGGGGUUGGCAUAACGAUGGCGUGCGUCGGGACGGUUCUUGUUUUUUGGUGACCUCAGCUUACCAUGCUUACAGGACAAUUGAGAUUUAUUAAUAAACGGAACACUGAUAUGCUUAUCAGGCCAUUGAAAAUAUGCACUGUAUGUGGAAAUAUGCACUGUGUGUGGAUAACAAUGUGGAUAAAUUAAAGUUUAACGUUUGUUAUUGUACUCCUAUCGGCAGCUUAUUCGCAUCCUUGUUCUGUAAUGAUGUAAGGAGCUAUGUGUGAAUAUAGACAGUAGGGUGAUUUGCUGAUAACUAUUGUCAUUUUACCUAGAAAUCUUAGAAAGUCAAUAGGACUGUGACUCGUAUUACAUUUAAAACACUGUUAGUUUUGUUUACUUUGUCUUGGAAAGUCCAUAAAAAUUACAAAAA